RNAcentral lists this ribosomal RNA (492 nucleotides) under uncultured bacterium. Its description in RNAcentral is "partial 16S ribosomal RNA". It matches the Rfam family "Bacterial small subunit ribosomal RNA", at positions 29 to 507 of the family's 1533-position model. The record is from RNAcentral.
AGUGAACGCUGGCGGUAGGCCUAACACAUGCAAGUCGAACGGCAGCACAGUAAGAGCUUGCCCUUACGGGUGGCGAGUGGCGGACGGGUGAGGCAUACAUCGGAUUCUACUUUUUCGUGGGGGAUAACGUAGGGACACUUACGCUAAUACCGCAUACGACCUACGGGUGAAAGCAGGGGAUCUUCGGACCUUGCGCGAUUGAAUGAGCCGAUGUCGGAUUAGCUAGUUGGCGGGGUAAAGGCCCACCAAGGCGACGAUCCGUAGCUGGUCUGAGAGGAUGAUCAGCCACACUGGAACUGAGACACGGUCCAGACUCCUACGGGAGGCAGCAGUGGGGAAUAUUGGACAAUGGGCGCAAGCCUGAUCCAGCCAUACCGCGUGGGUGAAGAAGGCCUUCGGGUUGUAAAGCCCUUUUGUUGGGAAAGAAAAGCAGCAGGUUAAUACCCCGCUGUUCUGACGGUACCCAAAGAAUAAGCACCGGCUAACUUCGUG